UGCAAGUCGAGCGGUAACAGGAGUAGCUUGCUACUCGCUGACGAGCGGCGGACGGGUGAGUAACGCGUAGGAAUCUGCCUAAUAGUUGGGGAUAGCCCGGGGAAACCCGGAUUAAUACCGAAUACGCUCUACGGAGGAAAGCAGGGGAUCUUCGGACCUUGCGCUAUUAGAUGAGCCUGCGUGAGAUUAGCUAGUUGGUGAGGUAAAGGCUCACCAAGGCGACGAUCUCUAGCUGGUCUGAGAGGAUGAUCAGCCACACUGGGACUGAGACACGGCCCAGACUCCUACGGGAGGCAGCAGUGGGGAAUAUUGCACAAUGGGCGCAAGCCUGACGCAGCCAUACCGUGUGUGUGAAGAAGGCCUUAGGGUUGUAAAGCACUUUCAGUCGUGAGGAAAGGUUAGUAGUUAAUACCUGCUAGCUGUGACGUUAGCGACAGAAGAAGCACCGGCUAAUUCCGUGCCAGCAGCCGCGGUAAUACGGAAGGUGCGAGCGUUAAUCGGAAUUACUGGGCGUAAAGCGCGCGUAGGUGGUUCAGUCAGUCAGAUGUGAAAGCCCCGGGCUCAACCUGGGAACUGCACCUGAUACUGCUGGACUUGAGUACGGUAGAGGGUAGUGGUAUUUCCUGUGUAGCGGUGAAAUGCGUAGAUAUAGGAAGGAACACCAGUGGCGAAGGCGACUACCUGGACCGAUACUGACACUGAGGUGCGAAAGCGUGGGGAGCAAACAGGAUUAGAUACCCUGGUAGUCCACGCCGUAAACGAUGUCUACUAGCCGUUGGGGGACUUGAUCCUUUAGUGGCGCAGCUAACGCGAUAAGUAGACCGCCUGGGGAGUACGGCCGCAAGGUUAAAACUCAAAUGAAUUGACGGGGGCCCGCACAAGCGGUGG
This 888-nucleotide ribosomal RNA is filed under the name uncultured Neptuniibacter sp. RNAcentral describes it as "bacterial SSU rRNA". It matches the Rfam family "Bacterial small subunit ribosomal RNA", at positions 56 to 935 of the family's 1533-position model. Lineage: Bacteria; Pseudomonadati; Pseudomonadota; Gammaproteobacteria; Oceanospirillales; Oceanospirillaceae. The record is from RNAcentral.